CCUACGGGUGGCAGCAGUGAGGAAUAUUGGUCAAUGGACGCAAGUCUGAACCAGCCAUGCCGCGUGCAGGAAGACGGCUCUAUGAGUUGUAAACUGCUUUUGUACGAGGGUAAACGCAGGUACGCGUAUCUGUCUGAGAGUAUCGUACGAAUAAGGAUCGGCUAACUCCGUGCCAGCAGCCGCGGUAAUACGGAGGAUGCAAGCGUUAUCCGGAUUUAUUGGGUUUAAAGGGUGCGUAGGCGGUCGGAUAAGUUAGAGGUGAAAUCCCGGGGCUCAACUUCGGAAUCGCCUAUGAUACUGUUAGGCUAGAGAGUAGUAGCGGUAGGCGGAAUGUAUGGUGUAGCGGUGAAAUGCUUAGAGAUCAGACAGAACACCGAUUGCGAAGGCAGCUUACCA
RNAcentral lists this ribosomal RNA (396 nucleotides) under uncultured bacterium. RNAcentral describes it as "partial 16S ribosomal RNA". It matches the Rfam family "Bacterial small subunit ribosomal RNA", at positions 338 to 731 of the family's 1533-position model. The record is from RNAcentral.